Molecule: ribosomal RNA, 236 nt
Filed under: uncultured bacterium
Lineage: Bacteria
Description: partial 16S ribosomal RNA
Rfam family: Bacterial small subunit ribosomal RNA
Source: RNAcentral
GAGCCUGGCUCAGGAUGAACGCUAGCGGCAGGCUUAACACAUGCAAGUCGAGGGGCAGCAUAAUGGAUAGCAAUAUCUAUGGUGGCGACCGGCGCACGGGUGCGUAACGCGUAUGCAACCUACCUUUAACAGGGGGAUAACACUGAGAAAUUGGUACUAAUACCCCAUAAUAUCAUAGAAGGCAUCUUUUAUGGUUGAAAAUUCCGAUGGUUAGAGAUGGGCAUGCGUUGUAUUAG